UCCCUGGAGGACUAGUGGUUAGGCCACGGCGCUCUCAUCGCUGCGGCCUGGGUUCGUUUCCGGCAAGGGAA
Non-coding RNA from Pangasius djambal, 71 nucleotides. NCBI's taxonomy places the organism in Eukaryota, Metazoa, Chordata, Actinopteri, Siluriformes, Pangasiidae. The record is from the annotation of a GenBank genome assembly.